This 601-nucleotide ribosomal RNA is filed under the name Scheffersomyces sp. RNAcentral's name for it is "partial large subunit ribosomal RNA". It matches the Rfam family "Eukaryotic large subunit ribosomal RNA", at positions 38 to 658 of the family's 3401-position model. Lineage: Eukaryota; Fungi; Ascomycota; Pichiomycetes; Serinales; Debaryomycetaceae. The record is from RNAcentral.
GCAUAUCCAAUAGCGGAGGAAAAGAAACCAACAGGGAUUGCCUUAGUAACGGCGAGUGAAGCGGCAAAAGCUCAAAUUUGUAAUCUGGCACCUUCGGUGUCCGAGUUGUAAUUUGAAGAAGGUAACUUUGGCUUUGGCUCUUGUCUAUGUUCCUUGGAACAGGACGUCACAGAGGGUGAGAAUCCCGUGCGAUGAGAUGCCCAUUGCUAUGUAAAGUGCUUUCGAAGAGUCGAGUUGUUUGGGAAUGCAGCUCUAAGUGGGUGGUAAAUUCCAUCUAAAGCUAAAUAUUGGCGAGAGACCGAUAGCGAACAAGUACAGUGAUGGAAAGAUGAAAAGAACUUUGAAAAGAGAGUGAAAAAGUACGUGAAAUUGUUGAAAGGGAAGGGCUUGAGAUCAGACUGGUGCUACAUAUGUUUUGCUUUCGGGUGGGGCCUCUAUGUGGUAUCGGGCCAGCAUCGGUUUGGACGGUAGGAUAAUGACAUUGGAAUGUGACUUUGCUACGGUAGAGUGUUAUAGCCUUUGUUGAUACUGCCUGUCUAGACCGAGGACUGCGUCUUUGACUAGGAUGUUGGCAUAAUGAUCUUAAGUCGCCCGUCUUGAA